AUGGCUAUGGAGGACGUCGAGUGGCAGUGGCAGUCGCUCCCGCUUCUGCUCCGAGUGUAUCAACGGCGUCGUCAGCCAUCGACCCCUCCAUUUGGGGCUUGCUGGAGGUACGAGAUGCAUUUCGUCCAUCUCAUCGCUAAAAUAUUUGUUGAAGCUGCAAGUCUGAUUAAUCAACCCAUUCCACCAAUGUUGUUUCAGUAUUUGAAAUGCUUUUGUUUUAAUUGUGUUUUUGCACUGACAUUCAGUACAAGUAGUAGAACAGAGUGCCAACUGCCAAGCAUAUUAGACAUACAUAAUUGCUGCUAA
Molecule: ribosomal RNA, 306 nt
Filed under: Triticum aestivum (bread wheat)
Lineage: Eukaryota; Viridiplantae; Streptophyta; Magnoliopsida; Poales; Poaceae
Description: partial small subunit ribosomal RNA
Source: RNAcentral